This 2927-nucleotide unclassified non-coding RNA is filed under the name Leishmania donovani. Its description in RNAcentral is "gene:LdHU3.30.0780(CDS-product:AMP-binding_enzyme _putative)". The record is from RNAcentral. Lineage: Eukaryota; Euglenozoa; Kinetoplastea; Trypanosomatida; Trypanosomatidae.
AAGUAAAGAGCUGCCCACCCAUUCGCCCCCCUCCCCGUCCGUCCGGCAUUACUUCGCUUUUCUCUGUGUAGAAACCCGCACGCGCCUCACUCGUUCUCCCUUCUGCCCAUCUCAUCGUUUGUUUGUCGCGACUCACCUAGCGCAUUUCCCCCAACCGACUUAGCAUUGGCCAUCUUCGUCUCCCAGAGGCGGCUCUCUCUGUGUGGGAGCGCUCGGCCUUCGGUUCACGCCAAGAAUUCCUUCUAGUAUCUCUUUCGCCUUGUAGCGUUUGCGUGUUUGUGCGCGCGCGACGGCUGCGGAUAGGAGCUGUCGCAGCCGCACUUAGGCGCGUAGUCAGUGGAGUGGAUCAUGGGCUCCCUCUCCGUGUCUGUAAACCUCUAGCGCACCCCCUUAGCGUCUUCCUUCUCCUAGUCACCCAUCUCACCUCCUUCAGAGGCUAGUACUCCAUCCAUGUUCCGCCGGAUCGCUCUUCCGCUAGCGGCAAGCGCCGCCGCCGCGCGCUUCAACUACGGCGUGACCUCCUCGGGCACCAUCCCCAAGUCGGCACCCGGGGCCGCCACCGCGGCGUCUUCAGGCCCCUACAUGCCUGCCUACUCGGAGGUGAAGGGCACGUGUGGCACACCAGUGCUGGAUCAGCUGAUCGGCUACUACGUUAACAUCCAGUCUCGUAAGAUGUACUACAAGGACUUUCUCCGCAUUGAGCAUCAGGCAGUCCGCUGGGCCUUUGCCGACAUUCGCAAGAACAGCGAGGCCCUGGCGCACGGCCUGCUGCAGACGGGUGUGCGGCCUGGUGAUCGCGUGCUUGCAAUCCAGCCAUGCAACUGUGAGACCUUCGUCCUGCAGCUUGCGUGCGCGAAGAUUGGCGCGCUGCUCUGUAUCGUCCCUCAAGACACCAUCAGCGCGGACAAGCUGCGCUUCUAUCUGAACGAGUUUCAGCCUCGCCAUCUUGUGGCCCGCGAGUGGAUCAACGUGCCGGAGAUGAAGCAGGGCGAGCUAGUGGAGCGCAACAUGCACUUCUGGGACACCAUCUACAACGUCAUCCCUGAGUUGGGCCUUUCCUACCCAGGCCAGAAGUUUCAGUGGGUGCACUCGCAGGAGUUUUACUACCUCAAGAAGAUCAUCAUUACAGAUCACAACAUGAACUUGCUAGGCGUGACACCGAUGCGGAAGAUGCUGGUGUGGGGCCCCUUCUCGUACUACGAGCAACGCCUGCGUCGGCUGUCGGCGCUGCUGCACCCUGACGAUCCAGUGCUGGCACUGGAGGACCCCAACCCGGCCAUGGAGGACAAGCUGCACAUCACCUACUCGCACCGCAACUGCGUGAACGCCGGCUUCCUCUUCAGCCAGCUCAUGCAGCUCAAGGCAGAGACGCGCUUUGGUGUGAUGCCGAACCACCACACGGACCCGAUCGGCGCCAUCAUCGCCCCGUAUGCGGCUCUCACCUCCGGUGCAGUGCUCGUGCACAUCCACUCCGACAUGUUCACAGAUGAUCACGCCAUCAACGGCAUCGAGAAGCUCUGCGUGGAGGAGGUGGAGACGCUCGUGGGCCGCAAGGCAGACUUCGACCUCAUCCUGAAGCACGCCGGAAACUUCGACGCUGACCAGUUUGAGCACCUCCGCUCCGUUGUCAUCUUCGAAAACGGUAUCGAGGCCCCCGUCUCUGAGGAGUAUCUCAACAAGCUAUCCAAGUCUCUCAACUUGGAUGACGUGUACGUCUUCCGCGGCCCCAUCGAGGCAUCCUACAUGCUGACGUGGCGCACACUCAAGAAGGGCUCGCAGGGCAUGGUCCCUCACGUCGAGGCCAAGGUAGUCGGUGAUCGUGGCACCAGUGACGCCAAGGUGCUGGCGGCCGGCACGCGCGGGAACCUGCGCUUGAAGGGCCCGCACGUCACAGCGGGCUACUACAACAAUGCAGGCUUGAUGACGGAGCUCAUCGACGAGCACGGCUUUGCUAGCACAAGCCGCGAGGCGAUGAUAGACGGCAAGGACAACAUCACUCUCAUGUCGGCACAGACCUAUUAAACGGGAAGGAAGCAGCAAUGGAUGAUCAGCAGCGCGUGCAUGGAGGGGAGCUGCAAACGAAACGGAGGGCUCUGAUAUUUUGUGGCGUCCCCCUCCCCCCGUGUCGCUGCGAUGCCCUCGCACUCGGUGCGCGAUAGCGAUGAGAGUGAGUGUUUGAGAGUAGAGGGACACGAACGCGCGCAUACUCGGAUAGCCAUGUGCGAGAGAAAGGAAGAGUAGCGUGAGAUGGGCGGCUUUAGUGGUCUGCGGUGGUGGAUGGAGGCCGCCCCUCUCUUAUCUCUCGCUCUUUGUUUUUGUUUUUUCUUUUGUCUCUUCGCAUGCCCACUGUCUGCCGUGCCGUUGCGCGCGGCGUGCGCACGACGGCCGCGAUGUGCGUUCCCAUUUCUGCCUCGCCGACUCACUUGUUCGCUCUCUCUCGCGCACGUAUUGCGUCGCUCCUUCGUACUGUGCGUGUCUUUGUUGUGGCCCUCUCUCUCGCCUGUUGGGAUUUUCUUUUUUUUCCGGUGAAGGAGCGUAUGUGGAGGAGGGGGGGGGAGUGACGGUGGUUAUCACUCGCCGUGUGGAUGUGUGGAUGUGUUUGGGUAUAUACACACAUGUGCGUGCGCCCGUGUCCUGUGGAUGUGUGUGCCUAUCACCAGCAGGGGCGCAGACGAAACGAGACGACAAAAACUCUCCUGCCCGAAAAAAGGAAAAGCAGCGGGUGCCGUGCUCUGCUGAGCACCGCUCGGCGCGGGGUAGAAGGCGCGCAUCUGGUGCUCUUCGAAAGUUGACAACGAUGACACUGCUCUCCCAACGCAGGGGGUGGGGGGCGCGAUGGUGAUCUUGGCGGACUCUGAGUACUCUAGCACUCUCGACAACCCGUCGAUGUGGUGUGUGCCUGCCGUCUUGAAAGCAUCUAGCACUGG